CUAACUCGAAAUAUAUUCAGUUUGCCACCAGAGCUUGUCUGGAGCACAACUCGUUUCGGAAAUAAACAAAUUUCAAAAGGCACCCAAAAUUAAAAGUGAAGCAACGGAAAUUUAUUGGUUAACUUGGGUGAUGAUACACACCCAGACGCACACAUAAAAAGAGUCAUACUGCCAUGCAAGUUAAACAGAUGAAAGCCCUAUAUACACAUACAUACAUUUGAACGGACUGAGUGCAGUUGCAGACACAGAUAUUAGCUGCUGCCCCGUCAAAAUGAACACAAUUGGAAACACCCAGACGCACACAUACAAAGAGUCAUACUGCCAUGCAAGUUAAACAGAUGAAAGCCCUAUAUACACAUACAUACAUUUGAACGGACUGAGUGCAGUUGAAGACACAGAUAUUAGCUGCUGCCCCGUCAAAAUGAACACAAUUGGAAACUAAUGAUGAUCGUUCCGCAUACCCUAGGUUUAGUUGACCGCCGCCUGGCCUUCUUUUUGCUAUAAGGGAAUUCAAAGCGAUGGUACCGGUCCCGCUGGACGAGAGGAUUGCAUCGCUUGAAUUAAAACUGUAAAUGCUGAUGAACCACACAUCCCAUUGAAUAUUAACCUUUCGCUUGUCCUUGUCUUUA
RNAcentral lists this small RNA (629 nucleotides) under Drosophila yakuba. Its description in RNAcentral is "GE28478". The record is from RNAcentral. Lineage: Eukaryota; Metazoa; Arthropoda; Insecta; Diptera; Drosophilidae.